Astatotilapia calliptera (eastern happy) is the source of this 959-nucleotide long non-coding RNA. The record is from Ensembl. Lineage: Eukaryota; Metazoa; Chordata; Actinopteri; Cichliformes; Cichlidae.
GUUCCCGUGCUGGGAAAACAGGUUUUGCAGCUGUUUGAGCUAAGAUUUCCAAGUUAUUCACAUAAUGAAAACCUAUACUUUGUUUCGGUCGAGUUCCCCAUUCAAAUGCAUGUAACAGUGAGAAACGCACUGUCUUGGCGAAAGAAAGCGUUUUUGUACAACUUCAUAGAAAUAGCUGUAACUUUUGAUAGAAGACUCAGACAAACAUGUUUAUGGCUUUAUCUUAUAGAACUCAAGGUCUCCGUGCUGGGAAAACAGGUUUUGCAGCUGUUUGAGCUAAGAUUUCCAAGUUAUUCACAUAAUGAAAACCUAUACUUUGUUUCGGUCGAGUUCCCCAUUCAAAUGCAUGUAACAGUGAGAAACGCACUGUCUUGGCGAAAGAAAGCGUUUUUGUACAACUUCAUAGAAAUAGCUGUAACUUUUGAUAGAAGACUCAGACAAACAUGUUUAUGGCCUUAUAUUAUAGAACUCAAGGUCUCCGUGCUGGGAAAACAGGUUUUGCAGCUGUUUGAGCUAAGAUUUCCAAGUUAUUCACAUAAUGAAAACCUAUACUUUGUUUCGGUCGAGUUCCCCAUUCAAAUGCAUGUAACAGUGAGAAACGCACUGUCUUGGCGAAAGAAAGCGUUUUUGUACAACUUCAUAUAAAUAGCUGUAACUUUUGAUAGAAGACUCGGAUACACAUGUUUAUGGCUUUAUCUUAUAGAACUCAAGGUCUCCGUGCUGGGCAAACAGGUUUUGCAGCUGUUUGAGCUAAGAUUUCCAAGUUAUUCACAUAAUGAAAACCUAUACUUUGUUUCGGUCGAGUUCCCCAUUCAAAUGCAUGUAACAGUGAGAAACGCACUGUCUUGGCGAAAGAAAGCGUUUUUGUACAACUUCAUAUAAAUAGCUGUAACUUUUGAUAGAAGACUCAGACAAACAUGUUUAUGGCUUUAUCUUAUAGAACUCAAGGUUCCCGUGCU